GGGGUGAAUCGGGUGCAGGAAAGACGGAGAACACGAAGAAAGUGAUCCAGUACCUGGCCCAUGUCGCCUCCUCACACAAAGGACGCAAAGACCAUAACAUUCCUGGCGAGUUGGAACGCCAGCUCCUGCAAGCCAACCCGAUCCUCGAGUCUUUUGGCAACGCAAAGACGGUGAAGAAUGACAACUCGUCUCGCUUUGGGAAGUUCAUCAGAGUCAACUUUGACGUCGCUGGAUACAUCGUCGGGGCCAACAUUGAAACUUACCUCCUGGAGAAGUCGAG
Labrus bergylta (ballan wrasse) is the source of this 280-nucleotide non-coding RNA. The record is from RefSeq and is a predicted model, not a curated record. Lineage: Eukaryota; Metazoa; Chordata; Actinopteri; Labriformes; Labridae.